RNAcentral lists this ribosomal RNA (500 nucleotides) under uncultured bacterium. RNAcentral's name for it is "partial 16S ribosomal RNA". It matches the Rfam family "Bacterial small subunit ribosomal RNA", at positions 30 to 523 of the family's 1533-position model. The record is from RNAcentral.
AUUGAACGCUGGCGUAAUGCUUUACACAUGCAAGUCGAACGGCAGCACGGACUUCGGUCUGUUGGCGAGUGGCGAACGGAUGAGUAAUGUAUCGGAACGUGCCCAGUCGUGGGGGAUCACGUAGUGAAAAUUACGCUAAUACAGCAUACGUUAUAUGGAUGAAAGAGGGGGAGCGCAAGACCUCGUGCGAUUGGACCGGCCGAUAUCAGAUUAGGUAGUUGGUGGGGUAAAGGCCCACCAAGCCAACGAUCUGUAGCUGGUCUGAGAGGACGACCAGCCACACACGAAAUGAGACACGGUCCAGGCUCCUACGGGAGGCAGCAGUGGGGAAUUGUGGACAAUGGGCGAAAGCCUUAUCCAGCCAUUCCGCUUGCAGGAUGAGUGCCCUCGGGUUGUAAACUGCUUUUGUACAGAACGAAAAGGUUUCUACUAAUACUAGGAGCUCAUGACGGUACUGUAAGAAUAAGCACCGGCUAACUACGUGCCAGCCGCCGCAGUAA